This 793-nucleotide ribosomal RNA is filed under the name uncultured archaeon. RNAcentral's name for it is "bacterial SSU rRNA". It matches the Rfam family "Archaeal small subunit ribosomal RNA", at positions 61 to 859 of the family's 1478-position model. The record is from RNAcentral.
AGAGGGUUCGGCCCUCGGCUGACGGCUCAGUAACACGUGGAUAAUCUGCCCUUAGGUGGAGGAUAAUCUCGGGAAACUGAGGAUAAUACUCCAUAGAUCUAGGAUGCUGGAAUGCGUCUAGAUUGAAAGCUCCGGCGCCUAAGGAUGAGUCUGCGGACUAUCAGGUUGUAGUCAGGGUAAAGACCUGACUAGCCUACGACGGAUACGGGUUGUGAGAGCAAUAACCCGGAGACGAUAUCUGAGACACGAUAUCGGGCCCUACGGGGCGCAGCAGGCGCGAAAACUUCACACUGUGCGAAAGCGCGAUGAGGGAAUCCCAAGUGUUUGCUCGUAAGAGUAAACUGUUUCUUUGUUUAAAACGCAGAGAGAGUAAGGGCUGGGUAAGACGGGUGCCAGCCGCCGCGGUAAUACCUGCAGCUCAAGUGGUGAUCAUUAUUAUUGGGCCUAAAACGUCCGUAGCCGGUUUAGUAAAUGCCUGGGUAAAUCGUGUAGCUUAACUAUACGACUUCUGGGUAGACUACUAAACUUGAGACCGGGUGAGGCUAGAGGUACUCCUGGGGUAGAGGUGAAAUUCUGUAAUCCUAGGGGGACCACCAGUGGCGAAGGCGUCUAGCUAGAACGGGUCUGACGGUGAGGGACGAAGCCCUGUGGCACAAACCGGAUUAGAUACCCGGGUAGUCCAGGGUGUAAACGCUGCUUGCUUGAUGUUAGUUGGGCUCCGAGCCCAACUAGUGUCGGAGAGAAGUUGUUAAGCANGCUGCCUGGGAAGUACGGUCGCAAGGCUGAAACUUAA